RNAcentral lists this small nucleolar RNA (72 nucleotides) under Tupaia belangeri (northern tree shrew). RNAcentral describes it as "Small nucleolar RNA SNORD112 (ENSTBEG00000021242.1)". The record is from RNAcentral. Lineage: Eukaryota; Metazoa; Chordata; Mammalia; Scandentia; Tupaiidae.
UAGACCAGUGAUGUCAAUGUGUCAUAAACCAAGGAUUAUGAUUAAUCUAAUUCUGUAAAAUUAAGAUUUUUC